CCUACGGGUGGCAGCAGUGAGGAAUAUUGGUCAAUGGACGCAAGCCUGAACCAGCCAUGCCGCGUGCAGGAUGACGGCCCUACGAGUUGUAAACUGCUUUUGUAAGGGAAUAAACGCAGACACGCGUGCCUUUCUGAAAGUACUGUACGAAUAAGGAUCGGCUAACUCCGUGCCAGCAGCCGCGGUAAUACGGAGGAUCCGAGCGUUAUCCGGAUUUAUUGGGUUUAAAGGGUGCGUAGGCGGGCGGUUAAGUCAGAGGUGAAAGCCCGAGGCUCAACCGCGAAAUUGCCACUGAUACUGUCCGGCUAGAGAGUAGUUGAGGUAGGCGGAAUGUAUGGUGUAGCGGUGAAAUGCUUAGAGAUCAUGCAGAACACCGAUUGCGAAGGCAGCUUACCAAGCUACUUCUGACGUUGAGGCACGAAAGCGUGGGGAGCAAACAGGAUUAGAUACCCUUGUAGUC
This 460-nucleotide ribosomal RNA is filed under the name uncultured bacterium. RNAcentral's name for it is "partial 16S ribosomal RNA". It matches the Rfam family "Bacterial small subunit ribosomal RNA", at positions 338 to 795 of the family's 1533-position model. The record is from RNAcentral.